UACUAAGGUAUUAGGUGGAGUCAGUAUCAUGCAAGAGGAAGCCAAAAGCAAACCAAAGUUCUGGAGAGCAGAAGCUGGGAGCUCACAGGAAAGCAGGAUGGGAAAGAAAUAGAGAGACAAGCUAUGGAUGGAGAUGGUGGAGCCCAAGGGCCAGACGAAGGGGAAGGACGCACACACAUGCUCCUUGUCACCUCCUGGGAACUCUGAACAGAUUGUGCUCAAUUUGGAGGAGUCCAUCAUAACUUUCAAUGGAAGUGUUCAGGGCUGCAAUUGCUCCUGACUGCUGUUGCUUGAGAAGAGACCCAGGCCCCAUCCAGGAACUGAGAUAGCCACUUGGCUGUAUGCCUACGGAUAUUAAACCCUGGAGGAUGGGACUAGGCUUUGCUUGGGGUCUCAUUCGGCCUGGCCCCUUCCUCACGCUCCGACUCUGUUCCCACUGGGCAAAGCCACAGCACUAUUCACUUUUUUCCUUAUCGGAAUGUCCUGUGACUUCAGAUUCUGAAAUGGCUGAAAACCGUCAAGAACUUCUAUUUUAUUUGAUUGCCAACAAUGAGAUAAGCAGCUCAGCUCCUGAUCUACACUGAGUGAACUAUGAAAUUUGAAUAAGAAAUAUGAACCUUUGGGUACCUUCUUGUGUGAAAAUUGUCAUCUUUCUAGUCCAAAGGUACGUCUCUGGGGACUGUAAUCCUAUGUGCAUUAUGAAAUGAUGUGGGAUAAGCCCUGUAGAGGAAGAACAGAAUACCAUCUAACUUGCAGUCAUCAUCUGGGAUAGUAACUGUCUUAAGUGGUAAAAAAUUACUGUCAGUGCUUUCUAGAGCCAUUAGGAACUUGCUGCACCCUGGAGUGCCGUGAGCCAUAAAAGCAGAGUGGAGAUAAACACACCCUGGGGUGUCAUGAGCUGUGAAGCACAGAUGUGUUCACCCAUAUUAUGAUAACCAUUGCUUAGAGAAAUCCUGUUUUGAGUAAAAGAAGAAAAAGAAGGAAAAAUGCCUUUUGCUAUGCAAUAAAGAUGUAGCAGUUUAAUCUCUCA
This 1030-nucleotide long non-coding RNA is filed under the name Vulpes vulpes (red fox). RNAcentral's name for it is "lncRNA (ENSVVUG00000017451.1)". Lineage: Eukaryota; Metazoa; Chordata; Mammalia; Carnivora; Canidae. The record is from RNAcentral.